GAUGAACGCUGGCGGCGUGCCUAAUACAUGCAAGUCGAGCGAACAGACGAGGAGCUUGCUCCUCUGACGUUAGCGGCGGACGGGUGAGUAACACGUGGAUAACCUACCUAUAAGACUGGGAUAACUUCGGGAAACCGGAGCUAAUACCGGAUAAUAUAUUGAACCGCAUGGUUCAAUAGUGAAAGACGGUUUUGCUGUCACUUAUAGAUGGAUCCGCGCCGCAUUAGCUAGUUGGUAAGGUAACGGCUUACCAAGGCGACGAUGCGUAGCCGACCUGAGAGGGUGAUCGGCCACACUGGAACUGAGACACGGUCCAGACUCCUACGGGAGGCAGCAGUAGGGAAUCUUCCGCAAUGGGCGAAAGCCUGACGGAGCAACGCCGCGGGAGGGAUGAAGGUCUUCGGAUCGUAAAACUCUGUUAUUAGGGAAGAACAAAUGUGUAAGUAACUAUGCACGUCUUGACGGUACCUAAUCAGAAAGCCACGGCUAACUACGUG
Molecule: ribosomal RNA, 497 nt
Filed under: uncultured bacterium
Lineage: Bacteria
Description: partial 16S ribosomal RNA
Rfam family: Bacterial small subunit ribosomal RNA
Source: RNAcentral